Molecule: long non-coding RNA, 293 nt
Filed under: Brassica napus (rape)
Lineage: Eukaryota; Viridiplantae; Streptophyta; Magnoliopsida; Brassicales; Brassicaceae
Description: long non-coding RNA (BNAP_LNC011430)
Source: RNAcentral
AGAGAGAGAGAGAGAGAGAGAGAGAGAGAGGCACGGGAAAGGAGAUCUGGCGGGUAUUGGAUUUUAGAGUGUUUUAAUUUCGGUGAGAAUUAGAUGAGUUUUGGAGUUGUCUGAGUGAUUCUUCUAGUAUAACUUUAAAACUAUCUUGGCACUAUGUACACUAAAAAAAUUUAAAAUAUUUUUUUAACAGAUAAAUAUAAAUUAUAUUUUGAAACAAAAUUUUAUUAAUAUUGUAAAUUUUAUUUUUCAUAUCAAUAUUUUAAUAAAAAUUUGAUUUAAUUAAACAUAAAAAU